This 443-nucleotide ribosomal RNA is filed under the name uncultured bacterium. RNAcentral describes it as "partial 16S ribosomal RNA". It matches the Rfam family "Bacterial small subunit ribosomal RNA", at positions 338 to 795 of the family's 1533-position model. The record is from RNAcentral.
CCUACGGGAGGCAGCAGUGGGGAAUAUUGGACAAUGGAGGAAACUCUGAUCCAGCAACGCCGCGUGAAUGAUGAAGGUCUUCGGUUUGUAAAGCUCUUUUCUAAGGGACGAAGAAAGUGACGGUACCUUAGGAAUAAGCCUCGGCUAACUACGUGCCAGCAGCCGCGGUAAUACGUAGGAGGCGAGCGUUAUCCGGAAUGACUGGGGGUAAAGGGUGCGUAGGUGGUUUGACAAGUUGGUAGCGUAACUCCGAGGCUCAACCUCGGCACUACUACCGAAACUGUCGGACUUGAGUGCAGGAGAGGCAAGUGGAAUUCCUAGUGUAGCGGUGGAAUGCGCAGAUAUUAGGAGGAACACCAGUGGCGAAGGCGAAUUGCUGGACUGUAACUGACGCUGAGGCACGAAAGCGUGGGGAGCAAACAGGAUUAGAUACCCCUGUAGUC